GUGGUUUGUCGCGUUGUUCGUGAAAUCUCACGGCUUAACUGUGAGCGUGCGGGCGAUACGGGCAGACUUGAGUACUGCAGGGGAGACUGGAAUUCCUGGUGUAGCGGUGGAAUGCGCAGAUAUCAGGAGGAACACCGGUGGCGAAGGCGGGUCUCUGGGCAGUAACUGACGCUGAGGAGCGAAAGCGUGGGGAGCGAACAGGAUUAGAUACCCUGGUAGUCCACGCCGUAAACGGUGGGUACUAGGUGUGGGUUUCCUUCCUUGGGAUCCGUGCCGUAGCUAACGCAUUAAGUACCCCGCCUGGGGAGUACGGCCGCAAGGCUAAAACUCAAAGAAAUUGACGGGGGCCCGCACAAGCGGCGGAGCAUGUGGAUUAAUUCGAUGCAACGCGAAGAACCUUACCUGGGUUUGACAUGCACAGGACGCCGGCAGAGAUGUCGGUUCCCUUGUGGCCUGUGUGCAGGUGGUGCAUGGCUGUCGUCAGCUCGUGUCGUGAGAUGUUGGGUUAAGUCCCGCAACGAGCGCAACCCUUGUCUCAUGUUGCCAGCGGGUAAUGCCGGGGACUCGUGAGAGACUGCCGGGGUCAACUCGGAGGAAGGUGGGGAUGACGUCAAGUCAUCAUGCCCCUUAUGUCCAGGGCUUCACACAUGCUACAAUGGCCGGUACAAAGGGCUGCGAUGCCGCGAGGUUAAGCGAAUCCUUUUAAAGCCGGUCUCAGUUCGGAUCGGGGUCUGCAACUCGACCCCGUGAAGUCGGAGUCGCUAGUAAUUGCAG
Molecule: ribosomal RNA, 774 nt
Filed under: uncultured bacterium
Lineage: Bacteria
Description: bacterial SSU rRNA
Rfam family: Bacterial small subunit ribosomal RNA
Source: RNAcentral